GCUAGAUUGCGGAUCCGCGGCCGCAGAGUUUGAUCCUGGCUCAGAUUGAACGCUAGCGGGAUGCUUUACACAUGCAAGUCGAACGGCAGCGCGAACUCCGGUUUGGCGGCGAGUGGCGAACGGGUGAGUAAUGUAUCGGAACGUACCCAGUAGCGGGGGAUAACUACGCGAAAGCGUGGCUAAUACCGCAUACGCCCUACGGGGGAAAGGGGGGGAUCGCAAGACCUCUCACUAUUGGAGCGGCCGAUAUCGGAUUAGCUAGUUGGUAGGGUAAAGGCCUACCAAGGCGACGAUCCGUAGCUGGUUUGAGAGGACGACCAGCCACACUGGGACUGAGACACGGCCCAGACUCCUACGGGAGGCAGCAGUGGGGAAUUUUGGACAAUGGGGGCAACCCUGAUCCAGCCAUCCCGCGUGUGCGAUGAAGGCCUUCGGGUUGUAAAGCACUUUUGGCAGGGAAGAAAAGGUUCUGGUUAAUACCUGGAGCCGCUGACGGUACCUGCAGAAUAAGCACCGGCUAACUACGUGCCAGCAGCCGCGGUAAUACGUAGGGUGCAAGCGUUAAUCGGAAUUACUGGGCGUAAAGCGUGCGCAGGCGGUUCGGAAAGAAAGAUGUGAAAUCCCAGGGCUUAACCUUGGAAUGGCAUUUUUAACUACCGGGCUGGAGUAUGUCAGAGGGGGGUAGAAUUCCACGUGUAGCAGUGAAAUGCGUAGAGAUGUGGAGGAAUACCGAUGGCGAAGCAGCCCCCUGGGAUAAUACUGACGCUCAUGCACGAAAGCGUGGGGAGCAAACAGGAUAA
Molecule: ribosomal RNA, 800 nt
Filed under: uncultured Alcaligenes sp.
Lineage: Bacteria; Pseudomonadati; Pseudomonadota; Betaproteobacteria; Burkholderiales; Alcaligenaceae
Description: bacterial SSU rRNA
Rfam family: Bacterial small subunit ribosomal RNA
Source: RNAcentral